This 468-nucleotide ribosomal RNA is filed under the name uncultured bacterium. RNAcentral describes it as "partial 16S ribosomal RNA". It matches the Rfam family "Bacterial small subunit ribosomal RNA", at positions 28 to 507 of the family's 1533-position model. The record is from RNAcentral.
GACGAACGCUGGCGGCGUGCUUAACACAUGCAAGUCGAACGGAAAGGCCCUGCUUUUGUGGGGUGCUCGAGUGGCGAACGGGUGCGUAACACGUGAGUAACCUGCCCUUGACUUUGGGAUAACUUCAGGAAACUGGGGCUACUACCGGAUAGGAGCCCCUGCUCCAUGGUGAGGGUUGGAAAGUUUCGGCGGGUGGGGAUGGACUCGCGGCUUAUCAGCUUGUUGGUGGGGGAGUGGCUUACCAAGGCUUUGACGGGUAGCCGGCCUGAGUGGGUGAACGGCCACAUUGGGACUGAGAUACGCACCAGACUCCUACGGGAGGCAGCAGUGGGGAGUAUUGCACAAUGGGCGGAAGCCUGAUGCAGCAACGCCGCGUGCGGGAUGACGGCCUUCGGGUUGUAAACCGCUUUCGCCUGUGACGAAGCGGGAGUGACGGUAAUGGGUAAAGAAGCACCGGCUAACUACGUG